CUAUAAGGCGUUCACUGGGGCAGCUGGAGAACAGUGUUUGGUUGUAUUGGCGUAUUACAAAAGUUGCCACAGUUAUCACAACAAAAUUCACUGCAAUGUUAUUUCCCAUUUGGCAAUUUGUUAUGUAAUUAAAAGUGAAUCAACUUUAAUUAUAGCUACGUGUCAUUUAUGACGCUCACACGUGAACGAUCCAAGAAAGAUUUAGAUUGGUUAAAAGACUUCGUGUCAUUCACGCGUGGUUUGUGUAAUCUCGUGACAACACUGGAAUAUGCGAAUUUCACACUCGGCAUUGUCUUCGGUUAACGCAACGAAAAAAACAAGAUAACAAACAAUGAACAUCAGAUCGGCGUCUCCAUCUUGCGUACCAAUAGGUUGGGAGAUGCUUUGUUGAAGUAGAACAGCAAACAGAAAAAUGAAACUGACUAGUGCGGCAUUGGUGAACAGUUGACACUUCAUCUCUAAUUUCUAUAUGAAGUUAAAGUUAUUCAAAAAAUGUUGUUAGUUUGUAUUUUGCCCCAAAAUGUCACAGGCUUUUAUUAAGCUUGUACUUAUAGAUCAACCGUAACUAAUUAAUACUUUGCUUAUGCUGUUAUUUAAGAUAGUCCUACAUUGCGCACUCAACUUUUGCGACGAUCGCUUUUGUGAUUGUUGGCUGAAUAAAUCACGAAGGUAAUGAAACUAAUUUCAAAUAACACAACUCGUUACCACAAAUUUAAAAUCCUUGAAAACUCAAAGACUUACCCACUAUACAAGCCGAGUUUUAAAUUAUCCGUAGCUAUUACAGUCUUCUCCUGUUAAUCGGCACUAAGUUGUGAACACAAUGUUGAGUUGUUAUUAAUGCAACAGCCCACGGACUCACAGCUGAAGUAAAAAUCCUACAAUCAAUAUCAUUAUUGAAUUUCAGCUGACGGAAGCAAUUGAAAAAUUUAUCAUUACCGAUAAAUGUAUGUCCAAUUAUGUAACUAAUUGCAACUUAUUGUUCAUUGAUCCAAUAAAAAUUCUACUUUCUUGGUUUUAA
This is a long non-coding RNA of Xenia sp. Carnegie-2017, 1018 nucleotides long. RefSeq lists it as uncharacterized. The record is from RefSeq and is a predicted model, not a curated record. NCBI's taxonomy places the organism in Eukaryota, Metazoa, Cnidaria, Anthozoa, Malacalcyonacea, Xeniidae. The transcript is spliced from 2 exons.